RNAcentral lists this ribosomal RNA (501 nucleotides) under uncultured bacterium. RNAcentral's name for it is "bacterial SSU rRNA". It matches the Rfam family "Bacterial small subunit ribosomal RNA", at positions 28 to 517 of the family's 1533-position model. The record is from RNAcentral.
GAUGAACGCUAGCUACAGGCUUAACACAUGCAAGUCGAGGGGCAGCAUUAUCGAAGCUUGCUUUGAUAGAUGGCGACCGGCGCACGGGUGAGUAACGCGUAUCCAACCUUCCCCAUAGUCAGGAAUAGCCCGGCGAAAGUCGAAUUAAUGCCUGAUGUUUUCCACGGACGGCAUCUGAUGUGGAACAAAGAUUGAUCGCUAUGGGAUGGGGAUGCGUCUGAUUAGCUUGUUGGCGGGGUAACGGCCCACCAAGGCAACGAUCAGUAGGGGUUCUGAGAGGAAGGUCCCCCACAUUGGAACUGAGACACGGUCCAAACUCCUACGGGAGGCAGCAGUGAGGAAUAUUGGUCAAUGGGCGGAAGCCUGAACCAGCCAAGUAGCGUGAGGGAUGACUGCCCUAUGGGUUGUAAACCUCUUUUAUAAGGGAAUUAAAAUACGGGACGUGUCCUGUUUUGCAUGUACCUUAUGAAUAAGGACCGGCUAAUUCCGUGCCAGCAGCCG